Molecule: long non-coding RNA, 851 nt
Organism: Sinocyclocheilus rhinocerous
Lineage: Eukaryota; Metazoa; Chordata; Actinopteri; Cypriniformes; Cyprinidae
Exons: 3
Source: RefSeq, a predicted model, not a curated record
AUUUGAAAGGUCUAAAAGGAGUGAUGAGCGAAUGGAGAGACAAGCUCACCUGAGAAAGUUCAGCCAAGAGGAGAGGAAAGCAGAGAUGAGGCAGAGGCAUGAAGAAAUGAGAAACAAAUACGGUUUGAAAAAGGAUAACCCGUACUCCAGAUUUGAGAAUAGCUAAGAAACUUCUGAUGAUGCACCACUGUUGUCUUUUCUUUUACCUGUCGUAAAAAGAGAACAAAUUCCCUGCAUAUCCAGCACUCCAUUUUUCUUUGAGUUAGAAAGAUCCUAAAUAUACCAGUUACCAGCUGACCACACAAACAUACAUUGUUGCCUUUGGCUUGAAAUUUAAUUCAUUCACACUUGGAUUUUCAGUUAAUCUUCCAGCAAACCUCAAUUUAGAUGUAUUUAUGAAGCCUUGUAAGUAUAGUACAUUAAUGACAUUUGCAAAUCCAAAUAAGCAUCAAACAAAUUAAGCAAGACAUGUUGAUGAUUGAGUCUGCAUUGGACUUUGCCUGUUGAUUGGUUGGCUGUACAUGAAAUUCAUUUUUUAUUUAGCCUCAGCAGAUUUUAGUUGUGUAGCAUUUUUACUCUGAUUAAACUAGGACUUGUCUUUCAUAAAGUAGACCACGUGCUAUAAUCCAGUGUGCUUUAUAGAUUUAUCUCCUACACAUUUCAUAUGCUUUCUAAAGUGAAAUUGAUUUGUCUCUGCCUUUGCUAGUUUGUUGGCAUUUCAAUAUAAUUUGCCUGUGUGCUGCAUUUUUCAGUGUUUUGAUUACUAGCUUAUUAAAAGGGGUUUAUUUGUCAGUGCAAUUUACAAAAGUCAGAUAAACUGUGAGAAAGAAAACAAUAAAAGUGAAUAUUGU